CACAACACCUGAGUGGAGAUGAGCAGCCCAGGGGCGCCCUGCUGACCCGCACCCUUCCCAGACCACAGAGGGCGAAGAGGUCGCUGAUGCACCUGGGCCAUUCCCCUGCUUAGCAGCUGAUGGGAAGAAUCAGAAAGGCUCUGGAGGGCAGUGGCUGCAUCCUGCUUCGGCCAG
Molecule: long non-coding RNA, 174 nt
Filed under: Papio anubis (olive baboon)
Lineage: Eukaryota; Metazoa; Chordata; Mammalia; Primates; Cercopithecidae
Description: lncRNA (ENSPANG00000038454.1)
Source: RNAcentral